GGGUGUGAGGGCGACCUGGGUGCGACAUCAGUCACCCCUCUGGUCAUAGGCGGGUGCUCCUUCCUCCCUCGUGGCUCCACGUGUGUCCCUCUGGAAGCUGCACCUCAGUCGAAGAGGACGGCCUUCCCCCAGUCGAGACUAAUAUUUCUUAGAUAAUGCAGAAUGCAUAGUUAUUAAAUUGAUAGACUUGUUUUGUAAGUUUAUUUUUAUUU
RNAcentral lists this small nuclear RNA (212 nucleotides) under Erinaceus europaeus (western European hedgehog). Its description in RNAcentral is "7SK RNA". It matches the Rfam family "7SK RNA". Rfam says of the family: 7SK was discovered as an abundant small nuclear RNA in the mid-70s but a possible function has only recently been suggested. Two independent studies have found that 7SK RNA binds the CDK9/cyclin T complex (known as elongation factor P-TEFb). P-TEFb activates transcription by phosphorylating the C-terminal domain of RNA polymerase II. Lineage: Eukaryota; Metazoa; Chordata; Mammalia; Eulipotyphla; Erinaceidae. The record is from Rfam by way of RNAcentral.